Molecule: ribosomal RNA, 508 nt
Filed under: uncultured bacterium
Lineage: Bacteria
Description: partial 16S ribosomal RNA
Rfam family: Bacterial small subunit ribosomal RNA
Source: RNAcentral
GAUGAACGCUAGCUACAGGCUUAACACAUGCAAGUCGAGGGGAAACGAUAGAGAAAGCUUGCUUUUUCUAGGCGUCGACCGGCGCACGGGUGAGUAACGCGUAUCCAACCUGCCCACCACUUGGGAAUAACCUUGCGAAAGUAAGACUAAUACCCAAUGAUAUCUCUAGAAGACAUCUGAAGGAGAUUAAAGAUUUAUCGGUGAUGGAUGGGGAUGCGUCUGAUUAGUUUGUUGGCGGGGUAACGGCCCACCAAGGCGACGAUCAGUAGGGGUUCUGAGAGGAAGGUCCCCCACAUUGGAACUGAGACACGGUCCAAACUCCUACGGGAGGCAGCAGUGAGGAAUAUUGGUCAAUGGGCGAGAGCCUGAACCAGCCAAGUAGCGUGCAGGAUGACGGCCCUAUGGGUUGUAAACUGCUUUUAUAAGGGAAUAAAGUGAGCCUCGUGAGGCUUUUUGCAUGUACCUUAUGAAUAAGGACCGGCUAAUUCCGUGCCAGCAGCAGCCGCUG